This 241-nucleotide ribosomal RNA is filed under the name uncultured Actinomycetales bacterium. RNAcentral's name for it is "partial 16S ribosomal RNA". It matches the Rfam family "Bacterial small subunit ribosomal RNA", at positions 89 to 334 of the family's 1533-position model. The record is from RNAcentral. Lineage: Bacteria; Bacillati; Actinomycetota; Actinomycetes; Actinomycetales.
ACUCGAGUGGCGAACGGGUGAGUAACACGUGGGUGAUCUGCCCUGCACUUCGGGAUAAGCCUGGGAAACUGGGUCUAAUACCGGAUAGGAGCCAUUUUUAGUGUGAUGGUUGGAAAGUUUUUCGGUGUAGAAUGAGCUCGCGGCCUAUCAGCUUGUUGGUGGGGUAAUGGCCUACCAAGGCGGCGACGGGUAGCCGGCCUGAGAGGGUGGACGGCCACAUUGGGACUGAGAUACGGCCCAG